RNAcentral lists this long non-coding RNA (202 nucleotides) under Solanum tuberosum (potato). RNAcentral's name for it is "long non-coding RNA (STUB_LNC006068)". The record is from RNAcentral. Lineage: Eukaryota; Viridiplantae; Streptophyta; Magnoliopsida; Solanales; Solanaceae.
CACGAUGGAAGCGCAUCGCGGAGUUGGCUCAAGCUAUUCGAAAUGUGCAGCGAGGGAACAGGUCCGCGACGCGGACCUGGACUCCAGAUUUGCACCACGUGUUUUAUUUCAGACUAUUCCAGAUUUGCAUCACGUGUUUUAUUUCAGACUAUAAAUAGUCCAGCUGUAUUAUUUUAUCAUUAUUCAGUUUUUGAAAAACGGG